Molecule: long non-coding RNA, 1101 nt
Filed under: Pongo abelii (Sumatran orangutan)
Lineage: Eukaryota; Metazoa; Chordata; Mammalia; Primates; Hominidae
Description: lincRNA
Source: RNAcentral
ACAUAUAUAUUCGUCCAACACAGGAGCACCCAGAUUCAUAAGUAAAGUUCUUAGAGACCUACAAAGUAUGUUUCACAGUAAUAGUGGGAGACUUCCACACUCCAGUGACAGUAUUAGACAGAUCAUUGAGGCAAAAAAAUGAACAAAGAUAUUCAGGACCUGAACUCAACAUUGGAGCAAAUGGAUCUGAUAGACCUUUACAGAACUCUGCACUCAAAAACAACAGAAUAUGCAUUCCUCACAUCAUCAUAUGCCACACACUCUAAAAUCAACCACAUAAUUGGACAUAAAGCAAUCCUCAGCAAAUGCAAAACAACUGAAAUCAUACCAAACACACACUGAGAUCACAGUGCAAUAAAAAUAGAAGACUAAGAAAAUUGCUGAAAAUCGCAAUUACAUGGAAAUCAAUCAACAUGCUCCUGAAUGGCUUUUUAAUAAAUAAUGAAAUUAAGGCAGAAAUCAAGAAGUUCUUUGAAAAUAAUGAGAACAAAGUUACAACAUACUAGAGCCUCUGGACAUAGCUAAGGCAAUGUUAGGAGGGAAAUUUAUAGCACUAAAUCCCACAUCAAAAAGUUAGGAAGAACUCAAAUUAAUAACCUAACAUCACAACUGAAAGAACUAGAGAAGCAAGACAAAACCCCAAAGCUAGAGGAAGACAAGAAAUAACUGAAAAUCCAAGCUGAACUGAAAGAAACUGAGACAUGAAAAAAAAAUUCAACAGAUCUACGAAUUCAGGUUUCUCCACAGACACUACCCAAAGCAGUCCUUCACUACAGUGGCAGACAGACCUGAAAAUUUUCAUCUGAAGCAGCAGAGUGAACUGCAGAGUCAGGUCACCAACCAGUGUGGAGGCUAACAGCAGGCCUCUUUGGGGAUUCCAGGUGGAAGUGUUGGACAUCUGUAGUAUUCCUGGUCUCGAAUCAUCCUGAUAUUCUUCAUUUUGUUAUUCACAUUGGACUAGGCAGGAACAAAGAUCACCACAACUGGCUCCCCUUCAACUGUGUUAGAUGGCAGCUUGCCUUCAGUACGGUGAAACACAUUAAAGUUCUCUUGCCUGACACAGCAUAGGAAGAUGCUGAACGGCCACACAGUGAUCCAUUG